UGAGGUCUCCCACCACGAGAGUGGGUAAGGCCCCCGGUAGACGACCGGGUUGAUAGGCCGGAGGUGGAAGCGCGGUAACGCGUGGAGCUGACCGGUACUAAUAGGCCGAGGACUUGACCAC
RNAcentral lists this ribosomal RNA (121 nucleotides) under Nonomuraea turcica. RNAcentral's name for it is "partial 23S ribosomal RNA". It matches the Rfam family "Bacterial large subunit ribosomal RNA", at positions 2805 to 2925 of the family's 2925-position model. The record is from RNAcentral. Lineage: Bacteria; Bacillati; Actinomycetota; Actinomycetes; Streptosporangiales; Streptosporangiaceae.